GAUGAACGCUGGCGGCGUGCCUAAUACAUGCAAGUCGAGCGAACAGACGAGGAGCUUGCUCCUCUGACGUUAGCGGCGGACGGGUGAGUAACACGUGGAUAACCUACCUAUAAGACUGGGAUAACUUCGGGACACCGGAGCUAAUACCGGAUAAUAUAUUGAACCGCAUGGUUCAAUAGUGAAAGCCGGUUUUGCUGUCACUUAUAGAUGGAUCCGCGCCGCAUUAGCUAGUUGGUAAGGUAACGGCUUACCAAGGCAACGAUGCGUAGCCGACCUGAGAGGGUGAUCGGCCACACUGGAACUGAGACACGGUCCAGACUCCUACGGGAGGCAGCAGUAGGGAAUCUUCCGCAAUGGGCGAAAGCCUGACGGAGCAACGCCGCGUGAGUGAUGAAGGUCUUCGGAUCGUAAAACUCUGUUAUUAGGGAAGAACAAAUGUGUAAGAAACUAGUCGCGGCUUGACGGUACCUAAUCAGAAAGCCACGGCUAACUACGUG
Molecule: ribosomal RNA, 497 nt
Filed under: uncultured bacterium
Lineage: Bacteria
Description: partial 16S ribosomal RNA
Rfam family: Bacterial small subunit ribosomal RNA
Source: RNAcentral